RNAcentral lists this long non-coding RNA (6235 nucleotides) under Sus scrofa (pig). RNAcentral describes it as "lncRNA (ENSSSCG00065000074.1)". Lineage: Eukaryota; Metazoa; Chordata; Mammalia; Artiodactyla; Suidae. The record is from RNAcentral.
GGGGCCUGGGCUCCUUGGAGGACUUGCUGGAGGAGAUCUGCUAGGUCAACGUGAGCCUGAGGGCUGGAACCUGCUCGUCAUAGGGGCCUCAACAGCCGCCCUGUGUGUUGCCGAUGAGGCGGGGUGAGGACCAUGUGUUUUGGGAAAUGGAGGGUGAGGCUGAGGACUGCCUGCUUCUCAGAAGUGCAAUGGACUUAGCGUGCAAGUGGCAGAACCAGCUUCCAUUUCUAGACAAGAUUUUAUGACUGGGUGGCGAGACACUGGGCCCCGUCUGGAUGGGUGCUGUGACCCUGUCUGGAGACGGUAUCCGUUUGCCUGCUCCGGGAAUUGAGGCACGAACCUCCAUGGGGACCCAGAAUGUGACUUGUCAUGUGCUUUUUAAUACCCAGGAGUUCUGUGAUUAGUAGGCAUCGACAGGAAUGCCAACUUCAGAUAAGAAGAGCUGCCGCAAACCCAACCAGAAUUGGAGAUGGAGGUUUCAGGGGAGCCUUUUUCCCUGUAAGAGCAUCAUGAUAUGAAUUCUUCUGCGUUGCUGCGGUGAAUCGGUGCCAACACAUGCCCAGCAUUGCCUGCGAGCUGGAAGCCGCAGGGGGUGGCUAUUCUGCAGUCAGCUGCCUUCAGGGGCGGGCCUCGUGGUCCAGGAGUUCAUGGCUUCCCGGGAAAUCAGGCAGUCCUGCGUUGCUGUGCAUAGGCCAUUCGUGACUCUUGAAACGUUUAAAUAUGUCAUCCUAGAAAAGAAACAUACCCUGUGUUCCCCAGUGAGUGAGCAUUUCUGAGAUGGCAUCAUGGUUCUUUUAAAAGCUGAAAAUGAUCAAGUGCCCUGAGAAGACAUGAGUGGAUAGAAGGUAUGAUUGCAGUUUCCAAAAGCAUGCUCAGCCUGGGAGCCUGAGGGAUUUCAGUGCAGUUGGCAUGCUUUCACUUUCUGUGGUCAUGAGAUCUUCAUACUUCAGAGUUCACAGUGCUUUCUGAAUACCAAAGGCAAAAGAUAUUUCGAGUAUGUGUUGAAUGGUUUCAAAUCCACAGAUUCUUUGGGGUCCCCUUUGUUCAGUUUUAGAGUGCUCCCAGCUCCCUAUUUGGAAAGGAUUUGGAGAAAGGAGUCCCUGGAUGCCGGGAGCUCCUAGAUGUCACCGGAGAAAUAUUUCUCUCUUGUGACAGCUUAAUAAUAGAAGCACUUUGCAUUCACACAUUCAUGCUAAACUUAACUAUGUGGUCAUGGCUUGGUCUCGGAAGAUGAGGUAUUUUACCUGUGAAGGAGCAGGGUAGAAACGAAGCUAUCUGAGGAAUGCAUGUGAGGUGGCCCAGCACACUCCUGGUACUCUUGGUGGGAACAUUUGGUCCCACUCAUUAUCAGGCCAAACCGUGUCUUAAAAUAGGCUUACCAUGUGGUCCUCUAAACUAGGAGAGAGUCAAUCUAAGCAGCUGAGACCGAAAAUAUUUCUCAGGUUGAUCUUUUGAAUCGGUGUGGUGGACAAACUUUAUGGCAGAGUACCAGAAUGUUGCCUGCAUCCUGUUACUAUGGAAACAAUCAUCCAACUACAUAGUCUCUGCAUAUUUAUGUGUGGGUGUCAGCCUUGGGGACAAAACCAACUAUUUGCUUUUACUUCGCCCUGCUAGAACUUUUGAAAAGAGUAUUCCUGGAGUUCCCGUUGUGGCUCAGCAGAAAUGAAUCUGACUAGCAUCCAUGAAGACGAGAGUUUGGUCCCCGGCCUCACUCAGCGGGUUAAGGAUCUGGCGCUGCCAUGUGCUGUGGUGGUGUGGGUUGCAGACAUGGCUCAGACCUGAUGUUGCUGUGGCUGUGGCAUAGGUCUGAGGCUACAGCUCUGAUUCAAGCCCUAGCCUGGGAACUUCCAUAUGCUGUGGGUACGACCCUAAAAAAAGCAAAAAAGAAAAAAAAAUCCUAAACCAUUUAGAAAAUAUACUUCUUUCUUUUCCCUUUAUUCUUCAGUAUUUUUUUUUUUUUUUUUUGCCUGUUUGCCCCUGUCAUCCUGUUCCCCAGGUUUCAUAUAUGUUUGGUAUUGACUUAUCUCCCAUGUGCUGGGCACCUGUGCUAAGCACUUCCAUGUUUUGUUGCUGCUGAUUUUCUUGGGAGGUAUAUGAAGUCAGUUUUACUAAGUGCAUUUUACAAAUGUGGACAGUGAGGCUUUCCUGCUCUUCCUCAUCUGGGAAGGAUAAGAACCAGUGAUGCCACUCAGGUCUCUGAUGUUGGAAGGCUCGUUCACAGCCUCACUUCUAUGGGACCUUCUGGAGAAGUAACGGGAGGCCCUCAGGACUCAGGUGUCCUGCCUGGACGACAUCCACAGCCCACUUCCAGGAGGCUGAAUGUCGACACCAGCCGGGGGAGCUGCUUCCCUGGCCAGCCCUCUCCUCUUCCUCCUGUGUCGCAAGGACAUGCCCCCAGGCUCCUGGAACCAGGGCAUAUCAGAGUUUAUUUUGCAGUUGCACUUUGGGGAAUUAUGGGAUGCCCGAGGCAGUUCCUGGAAAUUGAUUUUCAGGAGUGCAGCUGUGCCAGUGAGUGGACUUUGGGUGGGGGGAAUGUUGGUAUUGCGGCGGGGUGUCCCAGGCUCCCUAGAAAUGGAAGAGCAUCCUUAGGAAAGCUGAUCCCACCCAGGGUCAAGCAGGGUCAGGACGGCUCAAACCUAACGAUGCUAUAGGUCAGGGAGGGAGGAGCACUGUGUCUCCCAGGCCCUGGUUUUCCUUUGGGGUGGAACCAAGCCCUAAAGACACCGUGAAACUGGGUUUGGGGAGAGAGCAGGGUGUCUUCUCCUUAGUGGGAAGAAGGUUGGUCAGGAUCCUUAUUGCAAGUGCUAGGUCAGGCCGAUGAUUUGGCCAAUACCUUUCACACUCAUUUGAGUUUCAAAUGGUGUCUUAGAACAUGGAAAGUUCAGCCAAUGUCACUGUGUUUCAGAGGCCAGAAAGGCAGUGGUCAGCAUACAGAUGAUCAUGGGGAUAGUGGGUUCUCUAUACUUAGUGGGACAGAGUUUCAAAAACACAUCCUGUGGACCAAAACCCCUGGGGGCACUGGGGCAGCUGGGAAAAGGGAGAUGAUGGCUAAAGCCAUCCUUACUGUGGUCUUGCUGGGCACAAGGGCUGAAUGUUAGCUUGAUGAAUUUUAUUGGAUCAUUCAAGGGGUCUCCAGGGCUUGACGUCACCAGACCUUCUGUUCCAUGAGGGAGGCUCACCCAUUCAUCCAACAAAUAUAGCUUGGUCCAUGUGCCAUGGUUGCAGGUGCUACAUGCUGUGUGCCAUGCAGAGUUGUGGGUGCUGGGGACACAGCUUUGAGCAGAACAGUCCCUUCCAGAAACAUUUUAGGCUUUGGGGGCUUGUGUGGUUGCAGCUACUCAGCUCUGCAGAAGCAUCCACAGACAUGGCACUCAGGCAGUGGGGUGGCCGCACCCUGGCACACAUUCAUCUACCAAACCAGGUGGCCAGCCUGUCUGUAGGAUGACCCUUGCCCAGGGUCAAGUUCUGCCAAGUUCAUUUUUUUCUCAAUGCCUUUUGCAGAAUAUCUCUACUCCUGAGCUGAUUUUAGAGGAUCCUGCCCCAAUCCUUGUCACCUCAUCACUUUGCAGGAGAGGUCAGGACAGCAGGGUGUGCUGCCGGAAGACACCCCCUGUUAUGGGCUGAGUCAUGUCCCCCCAGCUGCUGUGUCAAAGUCCCAACCCCUAAGACCUCAGACGGUGACUGUACUGGGAGACAGGGCCUUUAAGAAGUGAUGAAGUGAAAUGAGGCCGUUAGGCUGGUCCCUAAGCCAGUGUGGCUGGUGAACAUAUAAGAAGAAGAGAUUAGGGCACAGACAUACAUGGAGGGAAGACCAUGUGGGGACAGAGGGAGGAGGCAGCUGUCGACAAGCCAAGGAGAGAGGCCCUGGGAGGAACUAGCCCUUGCUAACGAACACAUUGAUCUUGGGCUUCCUGCCUGCAGGACGGUGAGAAAAUAGGCUGAUGCUAUUUAAACCAUCCAGUCUGCAGCCCUGUGUGGCAGCCCAAACUAGCAGACCUGCCUUAUCUCAGGUGCCGCACACUCCAGACGGUCAGGGCAGAAUGCAGGUGAGACACUCAUCACCAGGCGGUCCUUCCAGAGCUGAGGAAGCCCCAGUGUUCCUUCCUCUUCCUCUUUCCUUCAGGGCCCUGGAUGGAUGCUCUGCUAGCUUAUCAUCUCCUUCUGAGAAAGUGAUCCCUGGAUGGUGAAAAGAAACAGUUUAGAGAGAAAGAGUUUGCAGAGAUGAGGAUAAAAGGAAAACAUCCCUCCCAGCCUCCGUGAGGUGGAAAAUAGGCAUUAAAAUCCGGGUGCAAAAUGAAACCCUUAUAUUUUUCACUGGGGUCACUUUCUCAAGGAAUGCCCUGGGCUGGGGGAGAGCCUCAGACAUUGCUCCGGUAGGGGGGUGGGCAGACAUCCUGCAGGAGAAGCACUGGAGCUGGGUCUUGGCGUCAGAGAAUCUGAUUGCCCCCAAUCUGGAGUCAUUAGAGACGCAAACAGCUGGCCAUUGAGUUUUCCGCUGUGUGGGCCUCCAGCCCAGGCAUUCCUUGAGAGCAGUGUAGUAGCCCUCUCAAGAACAAAUAUCUAUUCAGUGCCUCCAGGGUUACCAAGUUUGAGAAUCGAAUUUAUAAGCUGUUCCUGUAAGUAGAAGUUCGAGACCUGGGAGGCCCUCUGGGCAUCUGACUCUGAGACAUUGGGCCCCAGGUGAAGAGACCCUGCCAGCACAGUGUGGCUCUCUCUCUCUCUCUCUCUCGUUUUUUUUUUUUUUUUUUUUUGCUUUUUAGGGCUGCACCGAAGCAUACAGAAGCUCCAGGCUAGGGGUCAAGUUGGAGCUGCAGCUGCCAGCCUACUGCACAGCCACAGCAAUGCCAGAUCCGAGCCACGUCUGUGACCUACACCACAGCCCACAGCAGCACCGGAUCCUUAACCCACAGAGAAAGGCCAAGGAUCAGGCCCGCAUCCUCAUGGAUGCUAGUCGGGUUUGUUACUCCUGAGCCACAAUGGGAACUCCAAGAUUUAGUAUUUUAAGUAAAAAUUCAUUCAUUUGGUUGACCAUAAUAGCAAGAGAGUUUCAGUACCGCGAUUGCUCACAGAGCCCCGCUUGGCGAGGGUCCCACAGGGACAGGCGGGAGACCUGAUGGAGGCUGUGGUCUAUAAAACUGGUUGGAGGGAGGACUGGGUACAAGGGGCUGAGCGGGGACUUGAGGGAUUGGAAAUCUGUGGAGAAGCCUUGAGGGGAGAGCACGCCCGGGACCCACUGACCCGAAGGUGUGAUCACGCUUCUCUGGCUCUUGGCAAAAGUAAAGUCAGGGGACAGUGGCUGCCAAAACUUUGGGUGGGUUUUGUGAUAAGGGGUGACUCCAGAGCCUGAGGACCAGGAUGCAGUGGGCAGUUCAUGCUGGCCGUGUCCCACUAUCCCUCCUCCGGGCCCCUUUAGCUAUUUUGCUAAGCGUGCCUCACUGUACUUGGCUAAGAGCAGUGUACAGGGAAACUAAGCCAGAGCACAUUUUAUUUUGCAGCCUGGCCUUUUAAAUUUCUUCUGGAAAAAACUUCCUACCGACAGGCCUGGCCAGGGACAGAGGCAUGUUCUGUGCAGGAACAAUGGUUGCAUUUUCCCUGGGAAACAACAUGGGGAUUGCAGGCAGCUUAGCUCUGGCAGGGCCCCCUUCCCUAGGCAGACGUGCCCGCUUGGCCGGGCUCUACACCGGGGCUGUCUGUCCAGCACCCCCCAGUCAGGAAGGGAAAGAUCAGGAAGCAGGCCGACCUGCCGGCUCCAUGCAGGUCCACAGUUAGUCUGUGCUCCAAGACCUUGACUCUGGCCACUUGGCUACCUUCCCUGGUGAGGGCACAUCCUCUAAGCCCGAGAGGGUGAGCAGCAUUGGGAGAGAGGCAGGGAUGCAGGGUUAGAAACCGCUUAGCAUCUUAGCCUUUCUCAGUGGGAUAGAAACCACAAAGAAGAAACACUGUUGCCAGGGCCAGGCUGCAAACACCCAGUGGAAGGAGCAGGCUGGGAGGAACAGAUGAUGGCCACAUUCCUGGCUCCCAGGGCAUCAGCUGCAUCAAGAGUGUGAGAUACUGGGGACCUGAGAGCAGAAAGAAAGUCAAGGCAGAAUUUGGUCCUGAGAUGGCUACCUGGUUUCAGUUUGGUUGGCUUUACCAGUUUCAGUUUCUUCUCUCAUUUUUCUGUUUGUACCAAAGUAAUAUCUGCUCAUGGUUUAAAAAAAAUAGGAAAGAGAAAAAAAAAAAAAAAAAAAAAAAG